CAGCUGAGCAAAUAUAUUUGUAAAUAAGAAACUGAGCAUUUUUGGCAUGCAUAUUAAAUUCAUACCAAAAGUGAAUACUUUUCCUCAUAAAUAAUGAAACAUUUGAAGCUGUUCGACUGCUGCUGACACCUGUUUUUCGACCUUCUCUCUGCGGUUCUUAACAAAGGGAGCAAAGGAGAAGGGAAAUCUGGACGCUUCUCAGGGUUUGUUUUGCUUGGUGUUAGUGCCUCUUCCUUGAUUGAGAACUUUGAUAUAGUAAAAGAUGAAGGGAAUGCUUUGUGUGGGUCUUAUUGUGGCCUUAGAUUAUAUCUGAGGACAGGAUAUGUCAACUGAUAUGCCCCAAACCACACAGCUAAUCUGUGGUACAGGAAGGCUCCGAUCCAGGUUUUUGAUCUCCAGGCGCAAAUGCCCUAGGUCAACCAGGAAGUGAUGGUCACCAUCGCAGAGAAGUUAAAGCCUGAGGGAAAAAGAUCAUCUAAGAUGAAGAAUCUCCCCUUUGCACUUACUAUCUGUGAGCCGAUUGCUUAGAGCAUGUCUCUGUAUGUAGUGUGGCAGAUUACAGGAAGAUCAAUUUUCUGGCAAACAGUUUAUAAAUUACUUCAUUGCUCAUAUCAGCAUCAUCUGAGAUUUCUAUCUGUCUGACUAAACCAAACAAUAAAACAGGGAAAAACUUCUCUUUCCAUGGGAACUGCACAAGAGCUAAGCCUUUCUGCCUACUGGCAACCCACGCUUGGGUGGGAGUUUGACAGCAGCUCUGAGUAAAUCUUUCUCUACUUUAGAUGUUACUAUCUGAAUCAGGAGUGGGAGGAAACAGGAUGGGACUGGAGGAAAAACAUCUUGGCGCAGGCAGCCUUGGGAACAGCUCCUCCUGUCUCUCUUGUCACCUCCAUUGCAACUGGAUUGUUCUUUCCUUACUGUAGUAAUGGAUCAAGGUCACUGACAUUUCUAGCACCAAAUGACCCGGACCUGUGUGCCCCACUUCUUAUAAUUGGGGUUAAAGCCUCAAUCCCAAUAUUCCAGGUACAGUUAUUAUAACUGUCUUGUCUCUUCCUUCCCUCCAACCUAGAACUGAGGUAGAGUGUUUUUCUAGGAAACUCCCUCUCCAGAAGGACUAAAAUCUUGGCCCUGAUCCUCACGAACUUGCUUAAUAUCCUCUGCACAAAGAUUGACACCACUUGUCACUUGUGAACUGCAGCUUAAAAGUCAACAUCUCUUGGAACCCUGUUGGCCACAGAUUAUUUGCCUCAAAUCUGGUUGGAGAUGGGUCUAUUGUUCGGGCAUCAUAUUGUAUCUGGCCUGCUGAAAUCCCAGCGUUUGUUUGAAAUUCCCAUCUCAUUCUCCUGGUCAGAAGGAGGUCAGGCUUGUGCCAGAAUAAACCUGGGAAGAUGCCACAUGGCUGGGUGUCUGCUAUGGGAAGCUAGAGCACAGAAACAGGAAGUGGUGUCCUGGAAGUCUGCUGAAGGUCAGUGACGGGGGCAUCAAUCCAAGGGGCUUAAUGGAGAAUCAGACCCAAUAUAUGGAGGUGAAAUGGGAACCAGGGGAUCAGGGAGGUGGAGGAAUAAGGACUGGUGGGGCUGCUAAAUGGGAGACACCCGCGAGAAGCUGUGGAUGGCUGGUGAGCAGACAUAUAUUACCAUGUAUCCUGGGAUGGCUCAAACUCAUGAGGCAUGUGAAAUUCGGUUAAAGAGGAUGGAAUGAAUGACUACUGACUUGAUCUAUCAGGUCAGACUAAUGGAUUAAAUAGAGAUAAAUGGAAACCACCACUCCUGCAUCCUUUAAAUCUGACUGUGGCAAUAAUUCAUUCUCUCCAACAAAAGGUCAGAUUUUUUUUUUAUUCAGUACCUCAACUGGAGGGGCUUCUGAUGUCAAAUACUCAGUGAGGCACUGUAUUUUAAUGGAAAACUGCUUAAAUCUUAAAUUAAGAUUUAAAGAUUGAGCAAAAGAUGUCAAAUUUAUCCAUUCAUUAAGAAAAUCCUUUUU
RNAcentral lists this long non-coding RNA (1980 nucleotides) under Equus asinus (donkey). RNAcentral describes it as "lncRNA (ENSEASG00005025507.1)". Lineage: Eukaryota; Metazoa; Chordata; Mammalia; Perissodactyla; Equidae. The record is from RNAcentral.